UGGGGAAUUUUGCACAAUGGAGGAAACUCUGAUGCAGCCACGCCGCGUGAACGAAGAAGGUCUUCGGGUUGUAAAGUUCUGUCCUGGGUGAAGAUAAUGACGGUAACUCCGGAGGAAGCCCCGGCUAACUACGUGCCAGCAGCCGCGGUAAUACGUAGGGGGCGAGCGUUGUUCGGAAUUAUUGGGCGUAAAGGGUACGUAGGCGGUUUGUUAAGUUUGGCGUUAAAUCACGGGGCUCAACCCCGUUCAGCGUUGAAAACUGGCAAACUUGAGAAGUAGAGGGGACAGUGGAAUUCCUAGUGUAGAGGUGAAAUGCGUAGAGAUUAGGAAGAAUACCGGGGGCGAAGGCGACUGUCUGGAUACAUACUGACGCUCAGGUACGAGAGCGUGGGGAGCAAACAGG
RNAcentral lists this ribosomal RNA (403 nucleotides) under Fusobacteriota bacterium. RNAcentral's name for it is "Fusobacteria bacterium partial 16S ribosomal RNA". It matches the Rfam family "Bacterial small subunit ribosomal RNA", at positions 355 to 776 of the family's 1533-position model. Lineage: Bacteria; Fusobacteriati; Fusobacteriota. The record is from RNAcentral.